AUGCCAAUAGAUGCCCGUAUAAUUCUGGGUAUCCCUCUUUGCACGAGGAAUAUGUCUGAUUUCUGGAGCUGGCAUCAUGAGAAGAAUGGCUUGUUCUCUGUUAGGUCGGCAUACAGGAUGCUUGUUGCAACGAGAUCGAGAAGGGAGGCUUGGCUACAGAGCAGAGCGGGCUCUUCCAGCGCUUCUAGGGAUGAGCGAGCUUGGAAAAUGCUUUGGAAAACACAAGUACCAGGGAAGGUGAGGAAUUUCCUAUGGCGACCGUCAAAACACUCAAUCCCAACGAAUGAUGUCAGAGCCCAUAGACAUAUGACAGACUCUAGCGCUUGCGGCUUGUGCGGAGCCCUAGACUCAUGGAGACACUCUCUGCUCGAGUGCACCAUGUCUCGAUGCACUUGGACCCUGGUGGACAGUGAACUAGCACAAACAAGGGCAACAGUGACUGAACCGAGCGCCAAGCAAUGGCUAUUCACUCUGAUAGAUCGCCUUUCUCAUGAUGACUUUGUGAAACUAUCGGUGACACUCUGGGCUCUUUGGGCAGCGAGGCACAAAGCGAUACACGAAGGGAUUUUCCAAAGUCCGCACACGAUUAUUGCUUUCGUCAACAGUUACAUCGACGGCUCGAUGUCAUCAACACAAAACAAGAGCAGGUGCCUCGCUCUGGUCGUGUGGCACACAUACCAACUGGUAGACCAAGAGCACCCCCACGGGCUUUGCAAAAAUCAAUGUAGACGCGGGGACGAGACGUGA
This 747-nucleotide ribosomal RNA is filed under the name Triticum aestivum (bread wheat). RNAcentral's name for it is "partial small subunit ribosomal RNA". Lineage: Eukaryota; Viridiplantae; Streptophyta; Magnoliopsida; Poales; Poaceae. The record is from RNAcentral.